Molecule: ribosomal RNA, 116 nt
Filed under: Escherichia coli
Lineage: Bacteria; Pseudomonadati; Pseudomonadota; Gammaproteobacteria; Enterobacterales; Enterobacteriaceae
Source: RNAcentral
AAUUNCGGCCUUAGCGCGGUGGUCCCACCUGACCCCAUGCCGAACUCAGAAGUGAAACGCCGUAGCGCCGAUGGUAGUGUGGGGUCUCCCCAUGCGAGAGUAGGGAACUGCCAGGC